Molecule: ribosomal RNA, 2679 nt
Filed under: Klebsiella pneumoniae
Lineage: Bacteria; Pseudomonadati; Pseudomonadota; Gammaproteobacteria; Enterobacterales; Enterobacteriaceae
Description: bacterial LSU rRNA
Rfam family: Bacterial large subunit ribosomal RNA
Source: RNAcentral
CGGCGAUGUCCGAAUGGGGAAACCCAGUGCAAUUCGUUGCACUAUCGUUAACUGAAUACAUAGGUUAACGAGGCGAACCGGGGGAACUGAAACAUCUAAGUACCCCGAGGAAAAGAAAUCAACCGAGAUUCCCCCAGUAGCGGCGAGCGAACGGGGAGCAGCCCAGAGUCUGAAUCAGCUUGUGUGUUAGUGGAACGGUCUGGAAAGUCCGACGGUACAGGGUGAUAGUCCCGUACACCAAAAUGCACAGGCUGUGAACUCGAAGAGUAGGGCGGGACACGUGGUAUCCUGUCUGAAUAUGGGGGGACCAUCCUCCAAGGCUAAAUACUCCUGACUGACCGAUAGUGAACCAGUACCGUGAGGGAAAGGCGAAAAGAACCCCGGCGAGGGGAGUGAAAAAGAACCUGAAACCGUGUACGUACAAGCAGUGGGAGCACCUUCGGGUGUGACUGCGUACCUUUUGUAUAAUGGGUCAGCGACUUAUAUUCUGUAGCAAGGUUAACCGUAUAGGGGAGCCGCAGGGAAACCGAGUCUUAACUGGGCGUUAAGUUGCAGGGUAUAGACCCGAAACCCGGUGAUCUAGCCAUGGGCAGGUUGAAGGUUGGGUAACACUAACUGGAGGACCGAACCGACUAAUGUUGAAAAAUUAGCGGAUGACUUGUGGCUGGGGGUGAAAGGCCAAUCAAACCGGGAGAUAGCUGGUUCUCCCCGAAAGCUAUUUAGGUAGCGCCUCGUGAAUUCAUCUUCGGGGGUAGAGCACUGUUUCGGCUAGGGGGUCAUCCCGACUUACCAACCCGAUGCAAACUACGAAUACCGAAGAAUGUUAUCACGGGAGACACACGGCGGGUGCUAACGUCCGUCGUGAAGAGGGAAACAACCCAGACCGCCAGCUAAGGUCCCAAAGUCAUGGUUAAGUGGGAAACGAUGUGGGAAGGCACAGACAGCCAGGAUGUUGGCUUAGAAGCAGCCAUCAUUUAAAGAAAGCGUAAUAGCUCACUGGUCGAGUCGGCCUGCGCGGAAGAUGUAACGGGGCUAAACCAUGCACCGAAGCUGCGGCAGCGACACUAUGUGUUGUUGGGUAGGGGAGCGUUCUGUAAGCCUGCGAAGGUGACCUGUGAGGGUUGCUGGAGGUAUCAGAAGUGCGAAUGCUGACAUAAGUAACGAUAAAGCGGGUGAAAAGCCCGCUCGCCGGAAGACCAAGGGUUCCUGUCCAACGUUAAUCGGGGCAGGGUGAGUCGACCCCUAAGGCGAGGCCGAAAGGCGUAGUCGAUGGGAAACAGGUUAAUAUUCCUGUACUUGGUGUUACUGCGAAGGGGGGACGGAGAAGGCUAUGUUAGCCGGGCGACGGUUGUCCCGGUUUAAGCAUGUAGGCUGGUUAUCCAGGCAAAUCCGGAUAAUCAAGGCUGAGGUGUGAUGACGAGGCACUACGGUGCUGAAGUAACAAAUGCCCUGCUUCCAGGAAAAGCCUCUAAGCAUCAGGUAACAUUAAAUCGUACCCCAAACCGACACAGGUGGUCAGGUAGAGAAUACCAAGGCGCUUGAGAGAACUCGGGUGAAGGAACUAGGCAAAAUGGUGCCGUAACUUCGGGAGAAGGCACGCUGGUGUGUAGGUGAAGUCCCUGCGGAUGGAGCUGAGACCAGUCGAAGAUACCAGCUGGCUGCAACUGUUUAUUAAAAACACAGCACUGUGCAAACACGAAAGUGGACGUAUACGGUGUGACGCCUGCCCGGUGCCGGAAGGUUAAUUGAUGGGGUUAUCCGUAAGGAGAAGCUCUUGAUCGAAGCCCCGGUAAACGGCGGCCGUAACUAUAACGGUCCUAAGGUAGCGAAAUUCCUUGUCGGGUAAGUUCCGACCUGCACGAAUGGCGUAAUGAUGGCCAGGCUGUCUCCACCCGAGACUCAGUGAAAUUGAACUCGCUGUGAAGAUGCAGUGUACCCGCGGCAAGACGGAAAGACCCCGUGAACCUUUACUAUAGCUUGACACUGAACAUUGAGCCUUGAUGUGUAGGAUAGGUGGGAGGCUUUGAAGCGUGGACGCCAGUCUGCGUGGAGCCGACCUUGAAAUACCACCCUUUAAUGUUUGAUGUUCUAACGUUGGCCCCUGACCGGGGUUGCGGACAGUGUCUGGUGGGUAGUUUGACUGGGGCGGUCUCCUCCCAAAGCGUAACGGAGGAGCACGAAGGUUAGCUAAUCCUGGUCGGACAUCAGGAGGUUAGUGCAAUGGCAUAAGCUAGCUUGACUGCGAGCGUGACGGCGCGAGCAGGUGCGAAAGCAGGUCAUAGUGAUCCGGUGGUUCUGAAUGGAAGGGCCAUCGCUCAACGGAUAAAAGGUACUCCGGGGAUAACAGGCUGAUACCGCCCAAGAGUUCAUAUCGACGGCGGUGUUUGGCACCUCGAUGUCGGCUCAUCACAUCCUGGGGCUGAAGUAGGUCCCAAGGGUAUGGCUGUUCGCCAUUUAAAGUGGUACGCGAGCUGGGUUUAGAACGUCGUGAGACAGUUCGGUCCCUAUCUGCCGUGGGCGCUGGAGAAUUGAGGGGGGCUGCUCCUAGUACGAGAGGACCGGAGUGGACGCAUCACUGGUGUUCGGGUUGUCAUGCCAAUGGCACUGCCCGGUAGCUAAAUGCGGAAGAGAUAAGUGCUGAAAGCAUCUAAGCACGAAACUUGCCCCGAGAUGAGUUCU